Molecule: long non-coding RNA, 425 nt
Organism: Eucalyptus grandis
Lineage: Eukaryota; Viridiplantae; Streptophyta; Magnoliopsida; Myrtales; Myrtaceae
Exons: 3
Source: RefSeq, a predicted model, not a curated record
UCGAUCAUGCCGCGGAGGAGAGAAAGGCAGAGCUCUACGUUGAGUGCUCUCUGUACAUUGACGGUGCUCCAUUUGGUCUUCCCACCAGAACGAGGUCUGGGAUGUUUCUUGUGGAAAAGAGGAGGGGUUGAUUGGUGGGGCUACGAUUCUUCUAUUUAGCAGCAAAAAGCAGCUAAAACUGGGAAGCAGAAGCUUAGACUUUGGCAAGGAAAGGAAGCUGAUGGCUCAUUUCCAACAAAUACUCCUGGAAAGGUCCCUAAGCAUGAGCGGGGCGAGCUGGAGCGCUUGGAAAAGCUUAUGAAUAAAUAUGAAAAAGGACAGAUUCAACGAAUUGAUUGGCUAGACCACCUUGCAUUUAAAGCUAUGGACAAAGUCAAGGAACGGGAGAGCAAUAAAAUUGGAAACUCCCAUCUAUACCUGGUCGU